AGAGUUUGAUCCUGGCUCAGAACGAACGCUGGCGGCGUGGAUAAGACAUGCAAGUCGAACGAGAGAAUUGCUAGCUUGCUAAUAAUUCUCUAGUGGCGCACGGGUGAGUAACACGUGAGUAACCUGCCCCCGAGAGCGGGAUAGCCCUGGGAAACUGGGAUUAAUACCGCAUAGUAUCGAAAGAUUAAAGCAGCAAUGCGCUUGGGGAUGGGCUCGCGGCCUAUUAGUUAGUUGGUGAGGUAACGGCUCACCAAGGCGAUGACGGGUAGCCGGUCUGAUAGGAUGUCCGGCCACACUGGAACUGAGACACGGUCCAGACACCUACGGGUGGCAGCAGUCGAGAAUCAUUCACAAUGGGGGAAACCCUGAUGGUGCGACGCCGCGUGGGGGAAUGAAGGUCUUCGGAUUGUAAACCCCUGUCAUGUGGGAGCAAAUUAAAAAGAUAGUACCACAAGAGGAAGAGACGGCUAACUCUGUGCCAGCAGCCGCGGUAAUACAGAGGUCUCAAGCGUUGUUCGGAAUCACUGGGCGUAAAGCGUGCGUAGGCUGUUUCGUAAGUCGUGUGUGAAAGGCGCGGGCUCAACCCGCGGACGGCACAUGAUACUGCGAGACUAGAGUAAUGGAGGGGGAACCGGAAUUCUCGGUGUAGCAGUGAAAUGCGUAGAUAUCGAGAGGAACACUCGUGGCGAAGGCGGGUUCCUGGACAUUAACUGACGCUGAGGCACGAAGGCCAGGGGAGCGAAAGGGAUUAGAUACCCCUGUAGUCCUGGCAGUAAACGGUGCACGCUUGGUGUGCGGGGAAUCGACCCCCUGCGUGCCGGAGCUAACGCGUUAAGCGUGCCGCCUGGGGAGUACGGUCGCAAGAUUAAAACUCAAAGAAAUUGACGGGGACCCGCACAAGCGGUGGAGUAUGUGGCUUAAUCCGAUGCAACGCGAAGAACCUUACCUGGGCUUGACAUGUAAUGAACAACAUGUGAAAGCAUGCGACUCUUCGGAGGCGUUACACAGGUGCUGCAUGGCCGUCGUCAGCUCGUGUCGUGAGAUGUUUGGUUAAGUCCAGCAACGAGCGCAACCCCUGUUGCCGGUUACCAGCACGUGAAGGUGGGGACUCUGGCGAGACUGCCCAGAUCAACUGGGAGGAAGGUGGGGACGACGUCAGGUCAGUAUGGCCCUUAUGCCCAGGGCUGCACACGUACUACAAUGCCCAGUACAGAGGGGGCCGAAGCCGCGAGGCGGAGGAAAUCCUAAAAACUGGGCCCAGUUCGGACUGUAGGCUGCAACCCGCCUACACGAAGCCGGAAUCGCUAGUAAUGGCGCAUCAGCUACGGCGCCGUGAAUACGUUCCCGGGUCUUGCACUCACCGCCCGUCA
RNAcentral lists this ribosomal RNA (1370 nucleotides) under uncultured bacterium. RNAcentral's name for it is "bacterial SSU rRNA". It matches the Rfam family "Bacterial small subunit ribosomal RNA". The record is from RNAcentral.